UGAUAGGGAGCUGCUAUGGCAGCGAACUGAUCGAUCCUACACUGCCAAGAAAAGCCUCUAAACAAGAUAACCUGGUAUCCGUACUAAAACCGACACAGGUAGGUAGGUAGAGAAUACCAAGGCGCUCGAGAUAACCCUCGUUAAGGAACUCGGCAAAAUGACUCCGUAACUUCGGGAGAAGGAGUGCCCCGGUAGGGUGAGUUGAUUUACUCAUACAAGCCCGAAGGGGUUGCAAAGAAACGGCCCAAGCGACUGUUUACUAAAAACACAGGUCUCUGCUAAAUCGAAAGAUGAUGUAUAGGGACUGACGCCUGCCCGGUGCUGGAAGGUUAAGGAAGGAGGUUACCUCUCAUCAUUGAGAGGGAAGCUUCUGACCGAAGCCCCAGUAAACGGCGGCCGUAACUAUAACGGUCCUAAGGUAGCGAAAUUCCUUGUCGGGUAAGUUCCGACCUGCACGAAUGGCGUAACGAUUUGGGCACUGUCUCAACGAGGGACUCGGUGAAGUUGUAGUGUAAGUGAAGAUGCUUACUACCCGCGACAGGACGGAAAGACCCCGUGAACCUUUACUGUAGCCUGAUAUUGAACUUUAGCAUAUCCUGUGUAGGAUAGGUGGUAGGCUGUGAAAGAGGGGCGUUAGCCUCUCCGGAGCCAUCCUUGAAAUACCACCCUUGGUAUGUUUGGGUUCUAACCUUUCGCCGUUAUCCGGCAAAGGGACAGUAUUUGGUGGGCAGUUUGACUGGGGCGGUCACCUCCUAAAGAGUAACGGAGGUGUCCCAAGGUCUCCUCAGUGUGGUUGGAAAUCACACCAGAGAGUGUAAAGG
This 821-nucleotide ribosomal RNA is filed under the name marine sediment metagenome. RNAcentral describes it as "LSU rRNA". It matches the Rfam family "Bacterial large subunit ribosomal RNA", at positions 1564 to 2357 of the family's 2925-position model. The record is from RNAcentral.